UCCUACGGGGGGCAGCAGUAAGGAAUAUUGGUCAAUGGACGCAAGUCUGAACCAGCCAUGCCGCGUGAAGGAUGAAGGUCCUCUGGAUUGUAAACUUCUUUUAUAGGGGGCGAAAAAAGGUCUUUCUAGAUCACUUGACAGUACCCUAUGAAUAAGCACCGGCUAACUCCGUGCCAGCAGCAGCGGUAAUACGGAGGGUGCAAGCGUUAUCCGGAUUCACUGGGUUUAAAGGGUGCGUAGGCGGGUAGGUAAGUCAGAGGUGAAAUCCUGGAGCUUAACUCCAGAACUGCCUUUGAUACUAUCUAUCUUGAAUAUGGUGGAGGUAAGCGGAAUAUGUCAUGUAGCGGUGAAAUGCAUAGAUAUGACAUAGAACACCUAUUGCGAAGGCAGCUUACUACGCCUAUAUUGACGCUGAGGCACGAAAGCGUGGGGAUCAAACAGGAUUAGAUACCCGAGUAGUCGCA
Molecule: ribosomal RNA, 464 nt
Filed under: uncultured Sediminibacterium sp.
Lineage: Bacteria; Pseudomonadati; Bacteroidota; Chitinophagia; Chitinophagales; Chitinophagaceae
Description: bacterial SSU rRNA
Rfam family: Bacterial small subunit ribosomal RNA
Source: RNAcentral